AUGGACCAAUCCAUCCCUUUUUCCUAUUCAUAUGGAUCAGACUCGGAUGAUGAUGGUCCCGAUGAAGAAGUUGAUGAGGAGGGGUUCACGGUGAAGGAGGCCGAAGCAUUUAAGAAGGUAUUCCGGCGGGAUCACAAGACACCAUUGUUCAAGUAUCUUAGUCUCCCGUAUGAAGCCGUUUUAGAUGGUGGCAAAUGUAUAUCUCUUGGCGGUAGGCCAAGUUCCCACCGUGAUUUGGAAGACGGCAAGAACGGGAUAUAUCCCAGUUGUGAGUUUGAGUCCUUCUUGGAAUUGAAGAUAUGGCUCGACAACUACUCGGUUACGCAUUAUCGUCCACUUAGAGUGGCCAACUCGGACGUCAAUGUGCGCUACACGGUUAAAUGUGAAGUGCCAAGAUGUCCAUGGAUUGUGCGUGCAAGGCCAUGGAAAGGAGGUCCCACUUGGCGCAUAGUGAAUUGUGUACCAAGUCACAUGUGCCGACACAAUGUAGUGACCACGAUCCCAAUGGAACAAAGUCUCUGUGCUUAA
This 528-nucleotide ribosomal RNA is filed under the name Triticum aestivum (bread wheat). RNAcentral's name for it is "partial small subunit ribosomal RNA". Lineage: Eukaryota; Viridiplantae; Streptophyta; Magnoliopsida; Poales; Poaceae. The record is from RNAcentral.